Molecule: ribosomal RNA, 533 nt
Filed under: Apocalathium aciculiferum
Lineage: Eukaryota; Dinophyceae; Thoracosphaerales; Thoracosphaeraceae
Description: LSU rRNA
Rfam family: Eukaryotic large subunit ribosomal RNA
Source: RNAcentral
UAAUGGCGAAUGAACAGGGAUCAGCUCAGGAUGGAAAUUGGGGCCUUUGGCCUKGAAUUGUAAUCUGGAGAUGUACCACCAACUGGGGCGUAGAUGUAAGCCUUUUGGAAAAGAGCAUCAAUGAGGGUGAGAGUCCCGCAUGUCAUCUGCAGUCCCCAGUGCACGGUGUACCUUCUAAGAGUCACGUUCCUCGGGAUUGGAGCGCAAAUUGGGUGGUAAAUUUCAUCUAAAGCUAAAUAUUGCUUCGAGACCGAUAGCAAACAAGUACCAUGAGGGAAAGGUGAAAAGGACUUUGAGAAGAGAGUUAAAAGUGCCUGAAAUUGCUGAAAGGGAAGCGAAUGGAACCAGUGCAGCUUGGCAAGAUUGUUACGUGCCAGUGUGAUUGCUUGCUGCCUCAACGCAAGUGUGGCAGUAGGUCUUGAGCAUGACGCUCGUGGUGCUUCUUGCCUUGUGUGUCAACACCAGUUCACGGCUGAGGAAAACUUCAGGGACAUGGUAGCCUGUCUCCGGGUGGGUGAAUGUGCUUGCUGGAA